CAGCAGCCGCGGGAAUACAGAGGGUGCGAGCGUUAAUCGGAUUUACUGGGCGUAAAGCGUGCGUAGGCGGCUUCUUAAGUCGGAUGUGAAAUCCCUGAGCUUAACUUAGGAAUUGCAUUCGAUACUGGGAAGUUAGAGUAUGGGAGAGGAUGGUAGAAUUCCAGGUGUAGCGGUGAAAUGCGUAGAGAUCUGGAGGAAUACCGAUGGCGAAGGCAGCCAUCUGGCCUAAUACUGACGCUGAGGUACGAAAGCAUGGGGAGCAAACAGGAUUAGAUACCCCUGUAGUCCCUGUCUCUUAUAC
RNAcentral lists this ribosomal RNA (301 nucleotides) under uncultured bacterium. RNAcentral describes it as "partial 16S ribosomal RNA". It matches the Rfam family "Bacterial small subunit ribosomal RNA", at positions 509 to 807 of the family's 1533-position model. The record is from RNAcentral.